GUCCUUUAGAGUAUAAUUAAAGGUUUAACCUGCCCACUGAAAAAUUUGAAUGGCCGCAGUAAAUUGACUGUGCAAAGGUAGCAUAAUCAAUAGUUUUUUAAUUAAAAGCUUGUAUGAAUGGUUGGACGAGAUAAAAUCUGUCUUUAGGUUAAAUAUAGAAUUUAAUUUUUAAGUUAAAAAGCUUAAAUAAGAUUAAAAGACGAGAAGACCCUAUAGAUCUUAAUAAUUAUUAAGUUAAAAAUAUAUAGGAAUAGGAUUUAUUAUAAUUUAAUAAUUAUUUUAUUGGGGUAAUAGAAAGAUUUAAUAAAUUCUUUUUUAUUAAUAACAGUAAUUUUUGAAUUGUUGAUCCAUUAUUAAUGAUUAAAAGAUUAAGUUACCUUAGGGAUAACAGCGUAAUUUUUUUAAAGAGUUCAUAUCGAUAAAAAAGUUUGCGACCUCGAUGUUGGAUUAAAAAUUAUUCUAGGUGUAGUAGUUUAGAAUUUUGGUCUGUUCGACCAUUAAAUUUUUACA
Molecule: ribosomal RNA, 510 nt
Filed under: Graptodytes ignotus
Lineage: Eukaryota; Metazoa; Arthropoda; Insecta; Coleoptera; Dytiscidae
Description: partial 16S ribosomal RNA
Rfam family: Bacterial large subunit ribosomal RNA (bases 384-510)
Source: RNAcentral